This is a long non-coding RNA of Leptonychotes weddellii (Weddell seal), 707 nucleotides long. RefSeq lists it as uncharacterized. Lineage: Eukaryota; Metazoa; Chordata; Mammalia; Carnivora; Phocidae. The record is from RefSeq and is a predicted model, not a curated record.
AGGUCGCCAAAAACCACUCACAACCUCCACUGCCCUCCAGCAAAGCCUUUAGCCACCCAAGUGUGAGAGGAGCCUGGAAAGGGGUAUUAGAUCCCCUACAAGGGGCCCACUCCACCUCCGUGCAGAAACACCAGCAACGUGUACCUCCUGAAGAGAACCGGCCCGGAGAUGGAGGGAAAAGCAGCGCCUUCCUCGGUUCAUUUGUCCAGUCAUUCAACAAUCGUUUACUGAAUACCUACCAGGUCCCGGACACUGUCCUAAGUGCUGGGGACAGACACAAAUGCAGCCGAUCCGGGACAGCUGUAUUCAGGACCAGCUUUGCUUGCUGGUAGCAAGUGCCUGUGUCAGAUGUGAAAGGACAAUUAGAUACAACAGAGAUGACUGAGAAGAUCCACUGGGUUUCAUUUGGAGUCAACAGCCUUGUUUUCAACGAACCUUCUUGCUUGAACAGUCUCACACAUGCAGAUUCUUUCUCCACUGGACAUCUCUGCUCAGAAUCUGUUGUUAUCUCUUGACCUUUUCGAACUGAGGAAUGGAUUUUGUUUUGGUGAGCUCUGGCUUGUUCUCUUUUGCUAGGAGACUUAAUUGUCAGCUGAUUGUCAAAUACCAAUCUGCGCCCCUUAGGUGAACGUGAGCAAGGGGGGCCAUUCUCUUUCUUGCCUUGCUUUGGUGGAGAACAGGGUGGUAAAUGGGGAGUGUUACACAGA